This 377-nucleotide ribosomal RNA is filed under the name uncultured eukaryote. Its description in RNAcentral is "partial 18S ribosomal RNA". It matches the Rfam family "Eukaryotic small subunit ribosomal RNA", at positions 592 to 976 of the family's 1831-position model. The record is from RNAcentral.
CAAUAGCGUAUAUUUAAGUUGCUGCAGUUAAAAAGCUCGUAGUUGGAUUUCGGGUGGGAAUGGCCGGUCCGCCGUUUCGGUGUGCACUUGCUACGCCCACCUUGCUGCCGGGGACGUGCUCUUGAGUUCACGCUCGGGACACGGAGUCGGCGAGGUUACUUUGAGUAAAUUAGAGUGUUCAAAGCAGGCCUACGCUCUGAAUACAUUAGCAUGGAAUAACACGAUAGGACUCUGGCCUAUCUUGUUGGUCUGUAGGACCGGAGUAAUGAUUAAGAGGGACAGUCGGGGGCAUUCGUAUUUCAUUGUCAGAGGUGAAAUUCUUGGAUUUAUGAAAGACGAACUACUGCGAAAGCAUUUGCCAAGGAUGUUUUCAUUUA